Molecule: long non-coding RNA, 4399 nt
Organism: Acinonyx jubatus (cheetah)
Lineage: Eukaryota; Metazoa; Chordata; Mammalia; Carnivora; Felidae
Exons: 3
Source: RefSeq, a predicted model, not a curated record
AAUCUUAAGCUGGGUGCUGGAUACCUUUGGGCCCUGGAGCUUAGUUAGGGGUUCCCAACUGCACCCCCCCCUUCUUCCUAUAUUUUCCGUUGAUGUCUUUCAAAGUUCUUUGGCAGCUCAAAAAGCCAUUUGUCAUCAGUAUGGGCCCUAUUUUGGUUGGAUUUGUCUAUUCGCUCUGGCACUGCCAAUGUCAACAAAUGUGCUUUUUGCAAACAAGACCAGAAAAAAAAGGAAAGAAAACAAAACUGGACCUACAUACCAUCUUUAACCACAGAAAUGAUGUCAGCAGCUGAAGUUGUGCAUCCUGACAAAAAAAGUCCCCAUUUAGGAUGAUUAAUGCCUUGAGAUCAGGUCCCAGUCUAUUUCUUGCCUUUGUUUCCUACAUGGUCCUGUGUGUCAGCUUUCAGUCACUGGUCUCAAAAGAAAGGUAGGUCCAAAAAAUGUAGGUUGUAUGGCAAACGUAGGGGAAAAAACCAGCAUGGGACCCACUGGAAAUAUGUUUUUUUUUUAUCUGCCUACAGGGGCAGAACUCAGGACAAAUGUUCCCUUUAGAAACAUCAUGGUAGUGUUCUCCUUCGUGUCUCUCCAGCCCAUAGGAUGGACAUCUAACCUGUAGGGCAUUUGAGGACUGAUUGCUCGCCACUAGACCAGUGCAAGGUUGGGUUAUCAGGGUGAAGACUCCUUGUUCCCUACUGGCAGCCUAUGGAAAGAAUGUAGAACUCACCACAUCCAGGAUGGCAGACAAAGUGAAGGAGAUGUUGACCUGAGUGGGGAUGCUGUAGUUGAUGACUGGACGGAAGUCCUUCUGGUUAAAUAUAGUCUGGAAGACAGCAGGGUCCACCCCAUGUCGGUCAAAGCCUGAGCAAUUGAUGGUGAAAGUGUUUGACCUUCCUGUAGAGAGCAGAGGCCCCGUGAGGUGGGAAUAGGGCUUUCAUGUUUCCUAAGCGAGAGGAGUACCAGGGUUGAGGCCUGAGAACCUCUGCAGAGAAAGAAAAUGUGGACAUGGGUUGAGGCACGUGAGCCCCUCCUUCUGGGCCAAGACUUCUGAAGGCCAACUCCUUCCUGCCAGGCUGGAGAGGAUGGGCUGAUCUGGUAGGCAAAUGGUGGAAGUUGAUGUGGUAAGCUGAACCUGGGCUCAGCCCUUUCUUCCUGUGCUUUGCUCCCAUAUAAAGCCUAUUCAAAUUCAUAUGCAAACAACCUCGGGGGGGGGGGGGGGGAGUCCUAUUUCUUCUGUAGUCCCAACCCUGAAGUUUUGGCUUUUGUCUGACCAUACAUUUUUCUUUGUUAUGAUUCAUUCUUAUAGUCACUGAACAAAAUUUCCCUAAAAUUUUGUUUCUUAAUUUCCUCUUCCCACUUUUACAUUUCCCCAUGUCCUGGAAGGAAAAGUUUAGAAAGAAGUAAAUCAUGAGUACAUCGUAAGUGUGAUGUAAAAUAUGUGGGAACUUAAUGUUGCACUAAUGUGAAUUUAUCAACUACCUACUAUGUGCUGUGCUCUGUGCCUUCUCAAAUUCAGUGACUUCCUCAAAGAUCUGUGGGAGCCAUUUUCGUUAUCACCAUUUUGAGACUAUUUCAUUGAUCAUCUACCAUGUGCUUGGUGGAGAUGUACAAUGAAAUGUAAAAGCCCAUUGGCCCCCUUCACCCACAUCCCAGCCCCAGAUGACUGUGGUUAUUCCUGUAACUGCGGCCCAGCAAGUUCUUUCUCAUACCUCAUCCAUUACCUCCCCAUAUCAGCUGACUCAUAAGGUACAUCGCCAAACUAAGGAGAAACUUAUCCUAGAGGAAGAAAACAUUUCCCUUUCCCCUCCACAUCACCUCCUCUGCAAUAUCUUCCUGAGUGAGAUGGGAAAGGAGCUAUGUUAUUGCCAACAGGACCCAUAUCACCCUGUUCAUAGUUACUAUAUCUUGGUAGAAAGGAAAAGUUAGACACUAUAAAGGGGUGGGAUUGGAGAGGUGGUAAAUGGAAGGACAAACAGUUUAGUAGAUGCCUAGGCAGGCAAAUGAAAGGGGGGUUGUGUGAACUGAUCAGUGAAAUGGGUUUUUCAUCUGUUUCCAAGGAAGUCAAAACAUAGAUGUUACAGAGAAAGGAAAUGUUUAGCCCAGUUAUUUUAGAUGCUCCUAGUUCUGGAGAAUGAGAGGAUUUCUGGAUUUUGCCCAGAACAGCAUUCCCAUCUUGUCCUGUUCUUGCCCCAUCUUACCUGGAAGCAGAAGGUUGACAGUGAGGCAGAGGAGGAAUGCCCCCCCAGAAGGCCACCCCCCUUCCAUCCUCCUCUUCUGGACUCUUCUCUGGGGACUCACCAGGAGCCCCCAAACCCUUGAGCUUAAAGGAGCUCAGACCACACCUUGGUUCCUGGUUUUGAAUAGUGUGCAUGACAGGUGACCACUCCCUGGUGAGAGGCUGUGGCCAGAGAGGUCACAGCAGAGUGUCCUGCUUUGCCCCUGUGUAAGUAUGCCUUCCGGGCCCCAGGCAAGGGGAAGUAAGGCCUAAACCAGGGGAAAAGCACAUGUUUAGCAGGAUGAGUUUGAAAUCUGAGUUCCAAGUACCCUUCAGAAAAAAUUGGGGACUUGGGAGAUCGGGCAGGUAAGGCCAUGGAUAAAGGCCUCAUCAGGUCCUCCUGGAACUAACUUGGGCCUCAGGGAAAGUGCAUGGACUACAUAGAAGGGGUGUGGUAGAGACACCUGCUAAUCUUGGGGGGCAAGAACAUGUAAUUAUUUUGUUGCAUACUUGGAAAUGUAUUCUUUAUCCACUUGUGGACAUUUGGGAUUAUUGUCAAUAUUGAGCUAAAAAUAUGGAGAGAGUAAGUUUCUUUCUCUGGGACAGAAUCCGGGCUGACAGACGUCUGUCCCCAUGGCCAGCACAGCUAGUAUGAUCUGCAUCAUCCCUUGUUUGCACUAUUGGGGCAGCUUCUUCAGAAGGUUUCCUCUACCUGUUUUACCCCCAGUCUAAUCCUCCAUUUUGCCAUUCUCCUAAAACAGACCUCUCCUACUCGUGCUUCCUUACCCUAAUGUCUCUAAAGGCCUACAGCUCUGGGGCCAUGUAGGAAUGUGUGAGUAAAAAAUCAUUUGAUGAACUUUUUGAAAAUAUCUGCACUCCCACCCAUCCACCCCUGCGGAAGUCUGAAAAGGAUGCAAUAAAGGAUACAGAUGAACAGCCAGAGGAAAAGGUCGUGUUUUAGACCACAAGCCUUGCCUCAACUCUAACAUACAAACAGGAUGUUCUUUUGCAAAGGAUAUUGUCAAUCAUAAUGGUCUUGGCACUGAAAACUAAAGUCACAUUUCUGUGAUGUGGAAGAACAUUGCAAAAUGACAUCUAAAGAAAUACAAUGUGGAUAUGGGAAAGGAAAAAGAAAUGAUGCAAAAGUCAUCUUAAGAAAUUGGAAAUUCCUCAAAGAUGUGGCAGACACUCUCCAUUUUACAUUAUUGACAAAAGUCAAGGACAGUUUCUGAGUGAGAAAUAUGUUCAAAGUAAUGGAAAGAAGGAAGCACAAGAGAAUCUGCCACCAGAAAUGUCUCUGCCGGUGCCUCUAAUUAAUGUCUCUAAGAACCCAAAGAUAGCUGAUGCCUAACAAUGGGUAGCUUAUUUCCCACGUUAGAUAUGGAAAAAUAAAAUACACCAGGAUGGGAUAAAGAGAUUACACCUAGAGGUAGUAAAAUACUAAUUCUUGGUUGGCUGGCAUUCACUCAUUCGUUUAAUCAUUCAGCAAGUCUAUGUUAAGCACCUGUGAUAUGUCAGGCAUAAUGCCUGAUACUGAGUUAAAAAAAUGAAUGAGACACUGUACCUGACUUUCACGAAGACACAUUCUCUUAGGGGAGGCAGAAAUGUAAAUAAAUCUCUGAAAUGUCUUCACCUAAUUGGAAUACAAUUCAGAAAUAUGUCUUUGGUAUUCUUUUGCCUCCAUCUUCAAUUUCUGUCUCUCCUCAGGGCCAGCUGUUAGAAUCUUCCCCAGGAUCAUAUCUGCCUAUGAAGGUGUGAAGUAUUAUUAGUAAGGGGCACUUAAGAAAAUAGGGGCUUGGAGUGCCUGGUGUCUCAGUCGGCUAAGUGUCUGACUUCAAGUCAGGUCAUGAUCUCACAGUUAGUGGGUUUAAGCCCCGUGUCCGGCUCUGCACCGACAGCUCAGAGUCUGGAGCCUGCUUCGGAUUCUGUGUCCCUCUCUUUCUCCCCGCCCCCCCCCCCCCCCCCCCCCCCCGCUCAUGCUCUGUCUCUGUCUCUCUUAAAAAUAAGUAAACAGGGGCGCCUGGGUGGCUCAGUCGGUUAAGCGUCCGACUUCAGCUCAGGUCACGAUCCCACGUUCCAUGGGUUCGAGCCCUGCGUCGGGCUCUGGGCUGAUGGCUCAGAGCCUGGAGCCUGCUUCCGAUUCUGUGUCUCCCUCUCUCUCUGCCCCUCCCCCAUUCAUGCUCUGUC